UCGCAGUCGCCGGCAACCUCACCUCUUCUCUUCCUCUUCCCUGUUUCUCAUUCACACUCUUCUCCUCUCUCCAUCUCACUCGCGAAACCACUGAACCCUAGCUCUGCCAACCACCGUCACCCUCCGUUUUCACCGCCGACCACAACCCACACCGCCGCGCCCCUUUUUCUUCUUCUUCAUGUGCCCUCUCACCCCUGACCCUCUCGUUCCUUUUGGGUUGAAGAACAGAGCAAGUACAAGCUCUUGUUCUCUUCGUCUCAAGCGAGUCCAGCUGCUGCGACGUAUCCCCUGUGUCUUCCAGCACUGUGCCGACUUCCCUCUCUAACACUGCCCUUGGCCCCACCACCUCCCCUUCCCCUUCCCUGUUCCAUUCCUUCCUUCCAGUUUACAACUUCUGUUCACUUGAGGAGGAUCAUCCUCUCCAACGGCACCUACAUUCUGCCUGAGCUUGACACUCCCUCCGAGCAUUCUGAGGAGGAGGAGGACCAACAUCAUGAGCCAAAGGAGAUCUGAGAACCACAAGCAGACGGAAGAGCUGAUGAUAGCGACGACUCCUUCCACUCUGCAUAAUCAUGAGCACCGAGGACGGUGCUACAUCUUAAGUGUGGGGAGGUUGUCCAACUUCAGCAGCACAUUUUGGGUGACAAUCUUCAUUUCCGAACGAACACCUUUAGGGUAGUUUCUUUUUUAUGUUUUGUUUGGUACUUUGUAUAUAUUUUAUCCUUUUGAGGAACUUUUUACUUAGUUUAUUGCACUUUCUUAGCUUAUUGCACUUUUUAAUUUUGCUUGUACAUAACUUAGUAUUAUAUAAUAGUUAUGCAUAUUUUGAUAUUUUUGCCUUCAA
This is a long non-coding RNA of Arachis ipaensis, 844 nucleotides long. RefSeq lists it as uncharacterized. Lineage: Eukaryota; Viridiplantae; Streptophyta; Magnoliopsida; Fabales; Fabaceae. The record is from RefSeq and is a predicted model, not a curated record.